GUUAUUCAUAUCCUAGAAGAUAGAGAGAUUGUUUCUAAUAAACCCUCGGCUCAAGAAAUAUAAAAAGAAAUAGUAAAAAACAAGCAGAAAGAUAAUGACGACAAAAGAAACAAUAGCGACAAGCUGUAACAAUAGCAAAAUACUAAAAAGAAAAGGUGAAAGAUAAUUGGGAAACAUCAUGAACUACUAGUAAUCUAAGACAAGAAAAAUUACCAGACUAACCCUAAAACAAUCGGUAUAGAACAAAAAUACGCUUGACUACUUACUAACCUUCUAUCCUAAUUCUCGUCUUCCACUCCCUUCAAUAAAGGGUCAUGUCCUUAGUAAGUUGAAGUUGUCCUGCCUGAUCACCUCCCCUAUACUUCUUAGAUCUCCCUCUACCUCUGCUCCUACCCAUCAAAACCAACUGAUCGCACAUCACAACUGGGGCAUCUUGGGUUCUCCUUUUGACAUGCCUAAGCCAUCUCAUUCCCACUUCUCGUAUUUUGUCCUCCAUGGGUGCUACUCACACUUUCAUCCAAAUAUCUUCAUUUCCA
This 536-nucleotide long non-coding RNA is filed under the name Nicotiana benthamiana. Its description in RNAcentral is "long non-coding RNA (NBEN_LNC008525)". Lineage: Eukaryota; Viridiplantae; Streptophyta; Magnoliopsida; Solanales; Solanaceae. The record is from RNAcentral.